GCCCCCAUAGUUCAAUGGAUAGAACGUGAGUUUCCGGAACUUAAGAUGUAGGUUCGAUUCCUACUAGGGGCACCA
RNAcentral lists this transfer RNA (75 nucleotides) under bacterium. RNAcentral's name for it is "tRNA-Arg". It matches the Rfam family "tRNA". Rfam says of the family: Transfer RNA (tRNA) molecules are approximately 80 nucleotides in length. Their secondary structure includes four short double-helical elements and three loops (D, anti-codon, and T loops). Further hydrogen bonds mediate the characteristic L-shaped molecular structure. tRNAs have two regions of fundamental functional importance: the anti-codon, which is responsible for specific mRNA codon recognition, and the 3' end, to which the tRNAs corresponding amino acid is attached (by aminoacyl-tRNA synthetases). tRNAs cope with the degeneracy of the genetic code in two manners: having more than one tRNA (with a specific anti-codon) for a particular amino acid; and 'wobble' base-pairing, i.e. permitting non-standard base-pairing at the 3rd anti-codon position. The record is from RNAcentral.